CUGAGUUGAGUAGAGCACAGAAGAGAAGAGAUCAGAGUGGUGCGAAGGGUAGGUGUAGAGUAGGCGGGGAGUAGAAAGUCCUGUUGCAUAGUGGCAAAGCGACUUUGGCCCACACAUCCUUCCCCAAUCCCGAAAAUAGAAACAAAUUGUACAGUCUUUAUUGCCUAUGAUUGGCAUUCAGGAUUCCUUUUUUUCCGCCGAUUCUGUUACUGUCUCUAUCUGGCGCAGGGAUGGGCGGAGGAAUGGGUUACAGGAUGGAUGGGUUCAUCCAUCCAACACGAAGUGUCGAACGGAAGUGCAGGCUGAGAGUCUGCAGUGAUUAUCCGCGUUACACAGUACGAGCAAGUACGACACCUGGAAAGAGAAGAGACCCGUCUGGCAGGGACUGGACACUGGACUCUGGACACUGGACUGUGGACUCUGCUGGCACGCUUCCGAAUGGGUAGCCAAUAAUCCUGCAACAGAUGCAGUAGUUGGCAUCCAAAAUCAUCCAAGAUGGUGAUGCAAAUUCGAUUGUGCAAGAGAUGAGAUUUGGCAAAGGAAAAACGAAGGAAAUUUGAGUAGGAGUAGGUCGUAAAAUUUAGAUACUAGCGGGCAGGUUGCUUUG
This 607-nucleotide long non-coding RNA is filed under the name Drosophila guanche. Lineage: Eukaryota; Metazoa; Arthropoda; Insecta; Diptera; Drosophilidae. The record is from RNAcentral.